GGCCCUAUCGUCUAGCGGUUAGGACGUCAGCUUUUCACGCUGAAAACCCCAGUUCGAUUCUGGGUAGGGUCA
This 72-nucleotide transfer RNA is filed under the name Eubacterium sp. Its description in RNAcentral is "tRNA-Glu". It matches the Rfam family "tRNA". From Rfam's summary of the family: Transfer RNA (tRNA) molecules are approximately 80 nucleotides in length. Their secondary structure includes four short double-helical elements and three loops (D, anti-codon, and T loops). Lineage: Bacteria; Bacillati; Bacillota; Clostridia; Eubacteriales; Eubacteriaceae. The record is from RNAcentral.